Cricetulus griseus (Chinese hamster) is the source of this 2021-nucleotide non-coding RNA. The record is from RefSeq and is a predicted model, not a curated record. NCBI's taxonomy places the organism in Eukaryota, Metazoa, Chordata, Mammalia, Rodentia, Cricetidae.
AACAACUAGGGGGCGGAGCAAACACCUGGCCACACCGGCAGCUAAUCCCACAGACACCUAGUGCGUGCGCCCUGCCCAGUGAGGCUAGCGACUAUCUCAAGAGAAUAGCCAGCUGGCUGUAAACAUGGCUGAGAAUGAUCCAUCCUCAGAGCAGCAAAGGACCACAUGGACACUAAGCUCCUAAGGCACCUCGUAGAUACGUAGGAGCGGUGUGAGGAAUUUUGGAGAAGCAACUAUGUACCCUGGUUGGUCAGAAUUGUCCUCAACACAUUUUUUUCUGGAACACACAGGUUCCCCAUGCCACCAGGGAGUCCCCCUGGGGGCCAAGAUGAGGCUGAGGAGCUCCAGGAGACAUUCUUUUCCAUAGGAAUGGGAGAUACUUACUAAGACACAUCAGCUUUGAGCUGCCGCCAAGCCACAUGGACCUUGGAGGUUAGGAGUGAGGGUCCCACCCUUUCCUCCCAGAAAAACACACAGCCAAUGCUCUGAGAACCGUGGGACCCUCACUGACAGGCAAUGAAGCUCCAUGACCUCAGGAACUCCAUGAGAAGAGGCAUUUCUGACUUCAUGGUGCCCUCCUUCCAGAAGAUAACUGCCACCCUUGUGAGAGCAUGGUGGCAAGGGGAAGCAAAGGCAGUGGUGAGAUCUUGGAGACAAUAUAGGUGAGGAAUAGAACAUGGGGGUAUCGUGAUCCACAUGGGAAGCGAGACACACAGCGUAAGUGUGUGGGGAAGACUGACAGGCCAGUGUGUGACCCAUGGAGGGGGUCAGUCCCUGAGACUUGCUUCCACACAAGGUAUUAACCCUCACCUAGGAUCAAGAGAUCUCUGUUUGGACCUGUUGUCAGGUGGGCAAUGGCAACCUCCAGGGUGUGUGUCUGGUUGAAUUGCAGUGCUCCUACCUAUGUCUAUCCUGUGACCCAAGGCAGACCCAUGGCUACUUCUACAGUGAGUUAUCAAUUGGAAGACUGCUUCCCUGACCCUAUGGCUGGCUGGCUGUUUGUGCUGGGCCCUGUGUUCCCUUCUUCCUCAGCACCACCGCUGCGUCUCAGGUGUUCCCUGAACACCUGCUCAAGUCCACCCCAACUGUGAUACUUCAGUGGCACCUUAAACCUACUCAUUCAGACAUGAUCGUGUCUACCCAUGACUGCGGCUGCGGGAGGAAGGAGAGGAGGGUCACAGUCCUGUACAGAUCCCAGGGGACACCAUGCCUGCUUCUGGCCUCUGGCCCAGCUGAGUAGUGUCACCGCUUGGCUCCAGGCCACUCUGCAGACUCUCUGGACUUCGGCAGCUUCCUUCUCAAGGGCAGACGUGGGAGCUGUUUCGGAGGUGGCACAACCUUGAGUGUGUGUGAAGGCUGCUGCACACAGCAAAGUUCUGCCCCUGGUGUGAGGAUUGGGUGGAGGGAACAGGGGAAAUGAGCAGUAAAUGAGGGCGCUUGAGGAUGCUUCUGUUCUGGAAACUAUUCAGAGAUCCUUUCAGGACUAGUUUGCAAACCAUGGGCACCAGUAACUAUCACAGUGGGAGAUAGGGCCUUAGCCAUAUCAAAUCUUUGUCCAGCUCCUCCUGUGAGCCAGUGCUCAUUCAGUCCUUAUCUGCCCAUUCAUUCAUUCAUAUUCAUUCAUUCAUUCAUUCAUAUACAUUCAUUUACUCAUUCAUUUAUUCACUAAUUCACUGAUUCAAUCAUUCAUUCACUCCAAUUUUUUUUCAUUCUAUCAUCAUGCAUCCUUGGAGCUGCCCUGUAUUGAGGCAGACACAUCUGAAAUACAAAUGACUCAAGCACAAAAUGGGUUCCUGUCUGGUCAAUGUCCAGUGUGGGGAGUGCCCCAAACCCUCUCCAUCUUGCCCAUUCUCUGUGUGUCCCUGAGAGAAGGUGGGCAGAGCUUAGUGGGGAUGGCUACUUUAAGGGAUGUUAGAUGUUCACAGAGCAUUUUCCCCUGUGAAGUCUGUCAUGUUUCAGUACACAUUUCAGUUUCAUAAUAAAUAGACGGAUGCUCAAAUAUUGCAUUGCUUCUCCCCCAA